UGGGCUAAACUAACAAAAAACAACAAGAUCAUAUAUCAUAUGAUUAUGGAUUACCGCAUAAUUCAUCCCUUUGAUCCUAACACUCAAAGUGAUCUAGGAUUUAACUAUCAAUCCUCAAACAGUCAUCCACGCCGUAUUUCAACCUUUCAAAUCCAUCACAUAGAUUACCCUGAUCAAGAUUUUACUAAAUUGAAAUAUAGUGAUGGAUUAACUCCUACAAUUCGGAGAAGUCAAUCCCAUCUUGAUCCAUGCACAGACUUCGCAAAUACUUGACUGUACUCAGUAGCCUUCCGUCACUGCAUUAAAAAUACAGGUAGUCCGGUACCAAAACAUGGUGAGUUGUUUGCAAGUCGCUAUGGUGAUCUCAGAUCUGAGGGACACUUAUGCCCAUACGCUUUACGAGCUGCUCUUGACAGUAAGCGCUCAGUAGAUGAGUCACUUGUUCAAUACGAUAUACUCCUACAUUUCAUCUGUAUACCAUACCAGUGUCUCCACACUCUUUGGUUAUGAAAACAACCAACCUAUAUGGCAUAUAACGACCUACAUUCAAUAAACGUCAUCAUCCUAUUAAUGACGUAUCAGUUAAUCGC
This 590-nucleotide long non-coding RNA is filed under the name Elaeis guineensis (African oil palm). RNAcentral's name for it is "long non-coding RNA (EGUI_LNC000983)". Lineage: Eukaryota; Viridiplantae; Streptophyta; Magnoliopsida; Arecales; Arecaceae. The record is from RNAcentral.